CCCCUACAGAAAAAAAAAGUUGAGGGCCAGUUGAUGGCCAUGUGGCGGACAGUUGAGGGCUAGCUGUUUUAAGCAAAAUAGUUGAGGGCUAGGUGUUGAGCAUCUUAGCUCAACUCAAACCUGGCCAAGCACUGUAUGUUGGAUAGAUGUCGCUCAACUGGCCCUCAACUGAAGCUGGCCAUUAAGUUGAGGAAAAGUUGAGCAAUUGAUCUUUGGUUUUCAUAUAGUUGAGCAAAAGUUGAGCAUUCAGACUUUGAAAUUUUUGUAGUUGAGCAAAAGUUGAGCAUUCAGACUUUGAAAUUUUUGUAGUUGAGGAAAAGUUGAGCAUUCAGACUUUGAUUUUUUUUUUAUAGUUGAGCAAAAGUUGAGCAAUUAGAAAUAUGACCUGGUGAUAUAAAUGUUAUGUGCCAUCUGUUUUAUCUGUCUUUAGUGCAAAUGGACAGGAAGUAUUAUUAUAAAUGUACACAAAGUUUGAGGCAAAAUUAAGGGAAGCACAUGUUUUCAAUUUUAUACAUUUUUCUGUAUUUUAACUUAACUAAAUCUUUGACAUAAAGAUAAAAAACAAACAGUAUUUCUUUUAUUAUAAGAUAUAUCAAAUAUUCAAGAUUUAGGUAAUUAACAGUUAUUAUUAGGGGCAAAUCUCAAAGUGAUCACACUGUCACAAUACCCAAAAGAACCUCAAACAUUUAAAAUUUGAACUGGGUUUGAGCAUGCACAUGGCAAGCAAAGAUGUCUUCUAGCUAUCAUGAAUAAAAUAUGAAUUUUACAAUGAAUGUAGAUAAAAAAAGUUACAAAUAACUGUAUUGACAUUGAAAAGUGCAGUGUAUUCUUCUGAUGACAUGACUCUUGGAUUUAGGAAGAUUGAUGUUUUAACACAUAUUUCUGGAAACAUCUUUUGGUAAGUACAUUGGACAAAAUGUUGGAUUAGAUUUGAUUUCCACCAUUUUGAAUAAGUGUAUAAUUAUGCUCUUUUAGUUCAAAAUAGUGAUAUUUAAAGUGUUUUCUUUAUAAAC
Molecule: long non-coding RNA, 1013 nt
Filed under: Mytilus galloprovincialis (Mediterranean mussel)
Lineage: Eukaryota; Metazoa; Mollusca; Bivalvia; Mytilida; Mytilidae
Source: RNAcentral